RNAcentral lists this ribosomal RNA (2043 nucleotides) under Triticum aestivum (bread wheat). RNAcentral's name for it is "partial small subunit ribosomal RNA". Lineage: Eukaryota; Viridiplantae; Streptophyta; Magnoliopsida; Poales; Poaceae. The record is from RNAcentral.
AUGACGACCGACGGCGACAUCGACAUGGCCGACCUCGCCUCCCUCGACGCCCCGGCCUCUCCCGCCGCCGCCGCCGCCCCCUCCGUCCGCUUCCAACCCAACGUCAAGGGCAAGCCCAAGCCCAAACCCAAGCCGAAGCCGAAGGCCAAGCCGGCGCCCAAGCCCAAGCACAAACCAGAGCCGGAGCCGGAGCCAACACCGGAGGAGGGUGACCCCCACGCCGCGGCGGCGGCGGCGGCGGCCACGCUGCCGGAGGGCGGCGUGGACGCGAUGGAGACCGACGCGGACAGGGUGGGCCCCGGCGAGGGCGCGGAUGACAUGGAUGUCGAGGACGAGGACUUCGUGGUGCGGGAGAUCGACGUCUACUUCACGCCCAAGCCCUUCGACAAGGACAGCAAGCUGUACAUCAUGCAGUACCCGCUGAGGCCAUGCUGGCGUCCGUACGAGCUCGGUGAGGUGUGCAAGGAGGUGCGCGUGAAGCCAGGGAGCUCAAAGGUUGAGGUGGACUUGGAGGUCGACACGCAGAGCGACAACUACGACCCGGAGGUUUCUGGGUCUUUGAGGGUGACGACCCAGACGUUGUCAUCAUCGGAGGCGGCUGAUGUGUCUGACUAUGCCGUCGGGGUUCUCCGAGGCAACAUGGUUCAUCUGAAUCAUCUUGAUGCGGUGAUGCAGCUGCGGCCGUCAAUGCCGCAUCUGAUUUCUGGUGCUUCGCGUACUAGGCAGCCUUUGCAACAGGUGGAAACAAAUGGUGGUGGUGCUGGUAGCAAGGCUGUUCCAUCCGCUAAGGGAAAUCAGCACCCAGAUGGUUCCAAGGACUCCCCUAAAGAACCUGAGCCAUGGAUUUCUCUCACUUACGAACCAGCUGGGAGUGAUGUUGCAAGCAAGUACUAUGCUGAGAUGGUAGCAAGCGAGGGCAGGCCUAUAGAUUUCACAAUGAGCACACAUGAUUAUGCAUUGUCAUUGUGUCCCGGAGGGCCGACAGGCAGCAAGAAUAUUAACAGAAGCCAGGCGAUCCGGGAGAUGCUUUCACUGCCACUGGAAGAGCGCCUGAAGAAAUGGUUUACUGAGGUGUCACAAGUGACUCGAUUUGUUGCUCUAAUGCAUCUUGCUCCAGACUGUUCGGAGGAAGACCUUCUGGAAACUCUUCCAGUGUAUGCUGAUUUGGUGCGUGGUUUAUGGGUCUGCCGAAGUUCUUUGUUGUAUGAUGAUGGACUCGCUUCCAAAAGGGAUCAAAUUAUGCUCGAGUUUACAAAAAUGGAAUCCAUACCUGUGAAGUAUGUGGAGAGACUGAUCAGAGAUGAGCGAACAAGGAACAUGAUAUUGAAUCCGCUGGGUAAGAGAAGGGAUAAGCUUCAAGACUACAAGUUUAUAGUAGCAGCAGAUUCAUCCUUCAUAAAACGUUAUUCCCAUAUAGUCAAGGAGCAAGAAAAUGCUUGGUCGGUCCGUGCUGCAACCAUGCCUGACCCCCUAGAGAAAUGCAGCGCUACUGAACAAAGGAAAACCAAGAACUCAACCAAAUCUAACAUUCCUGUGAAAGGGCCUGAUCCAGUAAUGGGUAAGACCAAGGACGGCCUCGUUCAAGGAAGUGAAAACCAUGUGCGCUCUGUCUUGGAUAGUGUCUUCACUGCCAAUAAAGUUCGCAGCUUUCCGGCCGUUGUUAGAGACUUGAGGCACUUGGCAGUAAAAUAUGCCUCUGACAGGAAAGAUGGAGGAAGAUUCCAAGCUCUGUCAAAUGCUGCACAAACUUGUGUUUCUCUUUCUCGUAAAGAGCUUGAUGCUUCAAUACGUCUUGUUGCUGUUCCUGUCCAUGAUUUAUAUGUUCAAAAGUCCGAGGAGAAGGCUAGUGUGCGAAAUUGUCUCAUUAAGCUCUUCCGUGAUAGAGUUCCCAAUGGAACAUUAAAGAAGCAGGAAAUCCUUGAUUGUGCUCUGAGUAUCUUAAAGAGAAAAAUUAGUGAGAAAGAGUACCAUCAGGCUGUGUCUGAGAUCUGCAUCUCAAAUGAAGAUGGACACUUGGUAUUGAAGAAUGGUGAAAUGCCCUGA